RNAcentral lists this ribosomal RNA (441 nucleotides) under uncultured bacterium. RNAcentral describes it as "partial 16S ribosomal RNA". It matches the Rfam family "Bacterial small subunit ribosomal RNA", at positions 338 to 795 of the family's 1533-position model. The record is from RNAcentral.
CCUACGGGAGGCAGCAGUCGGGAAUAUUGCGCAAUGGAGGAAACUCUGACGCAGUGACGCCGCGUGCAGGAAGAAGGUUUUCGGAUUGUAAACUGCUUUAGACAGGGAAGAAACAAGACAGUACCUGUAAAAUAAGCUCCGGCUAACUACGUGCCAGCAGCCGCGGUAAUACGGAGGGAGCAAGCGUUAUCCGGAUUGAUUGGGUGUAAAGGGUGCGUAGACGGGAAGUCAAGUAGGUUGUGAAAUCCCUCGGCUUAACAGGCGGACUGAACAUGAAACUAACUGUCUUGAGUGAUGGAGGGGAAAGUGGAAUUCCUGGUGUAGCAGUGAAAUGCGUAGAUAUUGAGAGGAACACUCGUGGCGAAGGCGAGUUCCUGGACAUUAACUGACGCUGAGGCACGAAGGUGAGGGGAGCGAAAGGGAUUAGAUACCCCGGUAGUC